Molecule: ribosomal RNA, 253 nt
Filed under: uncultured prokaryote
Description: partial 16S ribosomal RNA
Rfam family: Bacterial small subunit ribosomal RNA
Source: RNAcentral
UACGGGGGGGGCAAGCGUUGUUCGGAAUUACUGGGCGUAAAGGGCUCGUAGGCGGCCAACUAAGUCAGACGUGAAAUCCCUCGGCUUAACCGGGGAACUGCGUCUGAUACUGGAUGGCUUGAGGUUGGGAGAGGGAUGCGGAAUUCCAGGUGUAGCGGUGAAAUGCGUAGAUAUCAGGAGGAACACCGGUGGCGAAGGCGCUCAUCUGGCCCAAUACUGACGCUGAGGCGCGAAAGCUAGGGGAGCAAACGGG